UGGAGGCCGCCAGCUCGGGCUGGUGCCGUUCCCGCCGCCGCCGCCGCCGCCGCGGACGCCGCUGCUGUGGCUGCUGCUGCUGCUGCUGCUGGCCGCCGUGGCGCCGGCGAGCGGCUGGGAGAGCGGAGACCUGGAGUUGUUUGACUUGGUGGAGGAGGUGCAGCUCAACUUCUACCAGUUCCUCGGGGUGCAGCAGGAUGCAUCAUCUGCAGACAUCAGAAAAGCAUAUCGUAAGCUUUCACUAACUUUACAUCCAGACAAGAAUAAAGAUGAAAAUGCAGAAACUCAGUUUAGACAAUUGGUGGCCAUUUAUGAAGUUUUAAAGGAUGAUGAACGAAGGCAGAGGAUGAACUACUAAGUAGAAAAAAGAGA
Molecule: small RNA, 372 nt
Filed under: Pongo abelii (Sumatran orangutan)
Lineage: Eukaryota; Metazoa; Chordata; Mammalia; Primates; Hominidae
Description: processed transcript
Source: RNAcentral